UUGAGGAUUAUCAACACCUAUGGAUCAGUUAUUAAUCAUAAAAAUCCAAUACUAUUGAACAUUUUGAUUCCCAUUGUUCUCCUCAGUAGGAGAUCCUGUAUAAACUUGACCAUUGUUCCUUGAAUCUCGAAAUAUUGAACGCAAUGAGUUAAUACCUUCAGAUGUAGCCCCACCUAAGAUCCAAAACAGCAGAGAACUAAAAGAAUUUGCAUUCCUCGGUUGCCCAAGUUCAUGCUGUCCUG
This 242-nucleotide unclassified non-coding RNA is filed under the name Hevea brasiliensis (rubber tree). The record is from RNAcentral. Lineage: Eukaryota; Viridiplantae; Streptophyta; Magnoliopsida; Malpighiales; Euphorbiaceae.